UAAUACGGAGGGAGCUAGCGUUGUUCGGAAUUACUGGGCGUAAAGCGCACGUAGGCGGCUAUUCAAGUCAGGGGUGAAAUCCCGGGGCUCAACCUCGGAACUGCCCUUGAAACUGGAUGGCUAGAAUCCUGGAGAGGCGAGUGGAAUUCCGAGUGUAGAGGUGAAAUUCGUAGAUAUUCGGAAGAACACCAGUGGCGAAGGCGACUCGCUGGACAGGUAUUGACGCUGAGGUGCGAAAGCGUGGGGAGCAAACAGG
This 256-nucleotide ribosomal RNA is filed under the name uncultured bacterium. RNAcentral describes it as "partial 16S ribosomal RNA". It matches the Rfam family "Bacterial small subunit ribosomal RNA", at positions 521 to 776 of the family's 1533-position model. The record is from RNAcentral.